Molecule: ribosomal RNA, 490 nt
Filed under: uncultured bacterium
Lineage: Bacteria
Description: partial 16S ribosomal RNA
Rfam family: Bacterial small subunit ribosomal RNA
Source: RNAcentral
AGUGAGCGCUGGCGGCAGGCCUAACACAUGCAAGUCGAACGGCAGCACAAGAGAGCUUGCUCUCUGGGUGGCGAGUGGCGGACGGGUGAGGAAUGCAUCGGAAUCUGCCCAUUUGUGGGGGAUAACCUCGGGAAACCGGGACUAAUACCGCAUACGACCUACGGGUGAAAGCAGGGGAUCUUCGGACCUUGCGCAGAUGGAUGAGCCGAUGCCGGAUUAGCUAGUUGGAGGGGUAAAGGCCCACCAAGGCGACGAUCCGUAGCUGGUCUGAGAGGAUGAUCAGCCACACUGGGACUGAGACAUGGCCCAGACUCCUACGGGAGGCAGCAGUGGGGAAUAUUGGACAAUGGGCGCAAGCCUGAUCCAGCCAUGCCGCGUGUGUGAAGAAGGCCUUCGGGUUGUAAAGCACUUUUGUUGGGAAAGAAAAGCAGCCGGUUAAUACCCGGUUGUCAUGACGGUACCCAAAGAAUAAGCACCGGCUAACUUCGUG